Molecule: ribosomal RNA, 460 nt
Filed under: uncultured bacterium
Lineage: Bacteria
Description: partial 16S ribosomal RNA
Rfam family: Bacterial small subunit ribosomal RNA
Source: RNAcentral
UCUACGGGUGGCUGCAGUGAGGAAUAUUGGUCAAUGGACGAGAGUCUGAACCAGCCAAGUAGCGUGAAGGAUGACUGCCCUAUGGGUUGUAAACUUCUUUUAUAUGGGAAUAAAAUGUUCCACGUGUGGGAUUUUGUAUGUACCAUAUGAAUAAGGAUCGGCUAACUCCGUGCCAGCAGCCGCGGUAAUACGGAGGUUCCGAGCGUUAUCCGGAUUUAUUGGGGUUAAAGGGGGCGUAGGUGGAUUGUUAAGUCAGUUGUGAAAGUUUGCGGCUCAACCGUAAAAUUGCAGUUGAAACUGGCAGUCUUAAGUACAGUAGCGGUGGGCGGAGUUCGUGGUGUAGCAGUGAGAUGCUUAGGUAUCACGAAGAACUCAGAUUGCGAAGACAGCUCACUGGACUGCAACGAACACUGAGGCUCGAAAGUGUGGGUAUCAAACAGGAUUAGAUACCCCAGUAGUC